UCUAAUCACUGAUUCACUGUCUCUCUCUAUCUCUCUCUAUCUCUCAGGAAUUACAGAAGCUUUCUACAACGACAACAAUGGCAUACUCGAGCUGUCUGAUGGUGUUGCUGGUUGCAUUGAUCGCUGGAUCUGCUUUCGCUCAGUCACCUACGGCUGCGCCAACGGUUUCGCCAACGGCUUCGCCCACCGCCGCACCUCCUUCACCUGUCUCCGCUGUUCCUACUGCCUCACCGACUGAAGCUCCAUUGGCUUCUCCACCUGCUCCUCCUACUUCUCUAGCUCCAUCUUCUCCAACCGCUUUUCCUCCUUCGAUCUCAUCGACUCCCACCGGUUCACCUACCUCUACUCCUAACUCCGCUAGCUUGAACAGAGUCGCCGCCGCCGGAUCCGUUGCCGUGGUUGUCUUAGCCGCUGCUUUCGUUCUGUAGAGAUAGAUCUAGUGGCGUUCAUGAUUUUCACAUUGAGUGAGGGUUUCUGAAUAUCGAUUCGUAUGAUAUUCCAGUUCAUUGUUACUAUUAUUUAUUUAGUAGUUGAUUUUAGUAAUUUGUUGUAUGUCGAUCUCGGAUUCACGAUCUAGUACUCGAUUUGUUGUUGUUAUCAUUAUCAUUUUAUAUACCGAUUUGUUCAUGAGUUCAUCCGUAGAGAUUUUGCCUUUUUAUGUCUACUUUUGUUCCCUGUGUGUGUGUCAUCAAUGAAGCUUUUUUGAAAACCUGCAACAGAGA
Molecule: long non-coding RNA, 722 nt
Filed under: Lactuca sativa (garden lettuce)
Lineage: Eukaryota; Viridiplantae; Streptophyta; Magnoliopsida; Asterales; Asteraceae
Description: long non-coding RNA (LSAT_LNC006857)
Source: RNAcentral